Molecule: ribosomal RNA, 394 nt
Filed under: Spinoncaea ivlevi
Lineage: Eukaryota; Metazoa; Arthropoda; Copepoda; Poecilostomatoida; Oncaeidae
Description: partial small subunit ribosomal RNA
Source: RNAcentral
GGUUAUACUUUAUGAAAGUAACUUUGUUUUAUUAAAAAAAAAUUAUUUUUAAUAUGGUUUAAUAUUAUAUAAAAAAUAAAUUUUUAGUGGUGGAUUUAAAAAAUAUCUUAACAUAAAAAGGUUAGUAUCUUUGUAUGGUAUUUUUAAUGAAAGUAGUUUAUAAAACUUAAAAUAAAUGGUAGUAAAAUACCCAGGCUAGGGAAUUUUAAAAUUUGAUUUGAUAAUCCUCAAUUUUAUUCACUUUAAAUAAUUUUAUGUGUGGUUGUUUAAAAACAUUUUUUAAGAUGAAUUUUAGUUCAGAUUUUACGUAGUAUUUUAAAGGAAUUUUGAAGUGUUGUAUAAGAUUAAAGAAAAAUUGUAUAAUUUCUAAGACUUAGAAGUAAUUAAAAAUUUA